CAAGAAGGAGCUUGUUCAAAAAGACGAGACAAAAAUGGAUGGCUGCAUCUGAAAGCUUCAUCUGAACAGGAGACACCAUGGGGCCUGGUGUGGAGUCUGGAUUGAGUGGAUUCAGUGAAAUGAGGCAGGAGGCCAUUUCACUGACUGAGGGAGAGAGCACAGCAGCUAACUGUGAAGACUUCUGCAUGUAUUUUGGAGAUGGAGCAAAAGCCCACAAAAUUAUUCAAACAAGCCUCUCAGACCCUCAUGAAGGAGCUAAGGGUCAUCUACACUCUUGUCACUACGAAGCUUGGUUUCAACAGCUCAUGCUGGUCCACUCUGUUCCUGAGUGCAAUCCUGUGCAGCCCUGCAUGGUUUACAAUGUGCACAUCCCCUAAGGCUUUUUCCUGAACAGCCAAUUGCUUGAAGGACCAGCAAAAGAAGCUAUUUUGACAAUUUAGCUGAACUCGUGGAAAUUUCAGACUGGCCCAGAUGGU
Long non-coding RNA from Manis javanica (Malayan pangolin), 476 nucleotides. RefSeq lists it as uncharacterized. Lineage: Eukaryota; Metazoa; Chordata; Mammalia; Pholidota; Manidae. The record is from RefSeq and is a predicted model, not a curated record.